Long non-coding RNA from Pteropus alecto (black flying fox), 244 nucleotides. RefSeq lists it as uncharacterized. The transcript is spliced from 3 exons. The record is from RefSeq and is a predicted model, not a curated record. NCBI's taxonomy places the organism in Eukaryota, Metazoa, Chordata, Mammalia, Chiroptera, Pteropodidae.
GAAUACGAGAGUCAGCCUCAGCUGGAAGGUAGCUGAGCUUUGGGUGGAUGGCUGUCUUGGGCUGGACAGGUGCAUCCAGGUUCCCUCCUUACUGUGGCAAGACGGCUGGCUGCUCAAGUUCUCAGCUUCCCGAGGGUGGACCCAAUGGUGUAAUCACAAGAGGCCUCUGCGAGGAGCCAGGAGGGUCAGAGGAGGAGGCAUGAAGAUGGAAGAAGGUUGGAGUAGGGCGCCUUGACGGUGGAGG